AUGUGUAGCAGUGCGCGCCUGCUGCCUUCUGCCACCAGGUGGCGCCUGGGCUUAUAAAAGGGCACUCCCCGUAGCGUCUCGUUCUCUGACCUCGGCGCACUUCCGGGAUAGGGCUCCGCCUUGUCGCGCACAGUGCCACCGCUCCUAGAGUCUCGACGUGCCUGAUCGAAGUUAUGGCUCGUGAGUAAAGCUCCUGCAUGUAUUUGCUGUUGAUCGCCACAAGCGCCACUGUUAGCCGCUGUCCACGGUUGGGUCGGUGUUGCUGUCAGAUGCCCCGGCCGCUCGGCGUCAAGCCUCGUGGAUGUAGAAGCGUGUGUUUUGUGGGUCCAGGGUGGUCUUCGGCACGUCAUCUGGUGGAGCGGUGGCCCUGUGAACGAGCUGCUGCUUUGUUUUACUGUGUUUUUAAUUUUAAGGACAAAAUCACCGUACAGCUGCUUUUGGUGACUGUGUUAUCGGCAGUUAUGUGAACAGUGAAUAGUCUACUCUUAAAGUUAAUCUAACAAAUGAAUUAUGGCAAUAAUAAAUAAUUUCAUGUUUUGUAA
Boleophthalmus pectinirostris (great blue-spotted mudskipper) is the source of this 542-nucleotide long non-coding RNA. RefSeq lists it as uncharacterized. The record is from RefSeq and is a predicted model, not a curated record. Lineage: Eukaryota; Metazoa; Chordata; Actinopteri; Gobiiformes; Gobiidae. The transcript has 3 exons.